GACGAACGCUGGCGGCGUGCCUAAUACAUGCAAGUAGAACGCUGAAGGAGGAGCUUGCUCUUCUGGAUGAGUUGCGAACGGGUGAGUAACGCGUAGGUAACCUGCCUGGUAGCGGGGGAUAACUAUUGGAAACGAUAGCUAAUACCGCAUAACAGUAGAUGUUGCAUGACAUUUGCUUAAAAGGUGCAAUUGCACCACUACCAGAUGGACCUGCGUGGUUUUGGUUGGUGGUGGGGGCAACGCAGCACCAAGGCGAGGAUCCAUACCCGACCGGAGAGGGGGGUCGGCCAGACUGGGAGGGAGACACGGCCCAGACGGAUACGGGAGGCAGCAGGAGUGAAUCGGCGGCAAUGGGCGGAAGUCUGACCGAGCAACGCCGCGGGAGUGAAGAAGGGUGCCGGAUCGUAAAGCUCUGUUGUAAGAGAAGAACGAGUGUGAGAGUGGAAAGUUCACACUGUGACGGUAACUGACCAGAAAGCGACGGCUAACUACGUG
RNAcentral lists this ribosomal RNA (495 nucleotides) under uncultured bacterium. RNAcentral's name for it is "partial 16S ribosomal RNA". It matches the Rfam family "Bacterial small subunit ribosomal RNA", at positions 28 to 507 of the family's 1533-position model. The record is from RNAcentral.